RNAcentral lists this ribosomal RNA (482 nucleotides) under uncultured bacterium. RNAcentral describes it as "partial 16S ribosomal RNA". It matches the Rfam family "Bacterial small subunit ribosomal RNA", at positions 28 to 507 of the family's 1533-position model. The record is from RNAcentral.
GAUGAACGCUCGCGGCAGGCCUAAUACAUGCAAGUCGGACGGGAUUCAGGAGCUUGCUUCUGAUGAGAGUGGCGCACGGGUGCGUAACACGUAUGUAACCUACCUUUAUCAGGGGGAUAGCCUCUCUAAAGAGAGAUUAAGCCCGCAUAAAAUCACAGCACAGCAUUGUGUAAUGAUCAAAUAUUUAUAGGAUAAAGAUGGGCAUGCGGAACAUUAGCUAGAUGGCGGGGUAACGGCCCACCAUGGCGACGAUGUUUAGGGGAUCUGAGAGGAUGGCCCCCCACACUGGUACUGAGACACGGACCAGACUCCUACGGGAGGCAGCAGUAAGGAAUAGUGGUCAAUGGGCGGAAGCCUGAACCAGCCAUGCCGCGUGCAGGAAGACGGCCCUACGGGUUGUAAACUGCUUUUAUACGGGAAUAAACCCAGAUACGUGUAUCUGGCUGAAUGUACUGUAAGAAUAAGGAUCGGCUAACUCCGUG